RNAcentral lists this ribosomal RNA (544 nucleotides) under Bifidobacterium pseudocatenulatum. Its description in RNAcentral is "bacterial SSU rRNA". It matches the Rfam family "Bacterial small subunit ribosomal RNA", at positions 156 to 711 of the family's 1533-position model. The record is from RNAcentral. Lineage: Bacteria; Bacillati; Actinomycetota; Actinomycetes; Bifidobacteriales; Bifidobacteriaceae.
ACGGGUGGUAAUGCCGGAUGCUCCGACUCCUCGCAUGGGGUGUCGGGAAAGAUUCUAUCGGUAUGGGAUGGGGUCGCGUCCUAUCAGGUAGUCGGCGGGGUAACGGCCCACCGAGCCUACGACGGGUAGCCGGCCUGAGAGGGCGACCGGCCACAUUGGGACUGAGAUACGGCCCAGACUCCUACGGGAGGCAGCAGUGGGGAAUAUUGCACAAUGGGCGCAAGCCUGAUGCAGCGACGCCGCGUGCGGGAUGACGGCCUUCGGGUUGUAAACCGCUUUUGAUCGGGAGCAAGCCUUCGGGUGAGUGUACCUUUCGAAUAAGCACCGGCUAACUACGUGCCAGCAGCCGCGGUAAUACGUAGGGUGCAAGCGUUAUCCGGAAUUAUUGGGCGUAAAGGGCUCGUAGGCGGUUCGUCGCGUCCGGUGUGAAAGUCCAUCGCUUAACGGUGGAUCUGCGCCGGGUACGGGCGGGCUGGAGUGCGGUAGGGGAGACUGGAAUUCCCGGUGUAACGGUGGAAUGUGUAGAUAUCGAAAAAGAACACCA